UAUAUUAUACUUAGAUAUGUACAGGGUCUCCAAGACUUGAAUUCUUAUAUAAGUAAUUAACACAAAAAAUAAACAAACAGACAAGAACCGAAUGAAGUGUCUCACGUUAAUGCCACUCAAAAGUAAAGUUACAUAGGUAACAUGAAGCCCGUGUAAACUUAAACAGACCGGUCUCCACAAACAGCACCCGUUCACGAGUAUGACGCGUAUCUCAGCCAUCGUCUCCCUCAACCUUCAUUCGGGAAAUCUUUGCUAACGGUGGCGUCGUUGAUCGGGUCGCCACUUUCCCGAAUGAAGGUUGAGGGAGACGAUG
Long non-coding RNA from Cydia strobilella, 313 nucleotides. RefSeq lists it as uncharacterized. Lineage: Eukaryota; Metazoa; Arthropoda; Insecta; Lepidoptera; Tortricidae. The transcript has 3 exons. The record is from RefSeq and is a predicted model, not a curated record.